UAGGGAAUAUUGGUUAAUCUACGAAAGUGGGAACCAGCAACGCCGCGUGUGCGAUGAAGGCCUUCGGGUCGUAAAGCACUUUUUACAGGGACGAGGAAGGACGGUACCUGUAGAAUAAGCCUCGGCUAACUACGUGCCAGCAGCCGCGGUAACACGUAGGAGGCGAGCGUUAUCCGGAUUUACUGGGCGUAAAGCGCGUGCAGGCGGUUGGGUAAGUUGGAUGUGAAAGCUCCUGGCUUAACUGGGAGAGGUCGUUCAUUACUACCUGACUUGAGAGUGGUAGAGGAAAGCGGAAUUCCGGGUGUAGUGGUGAAAUGCGUAGAUAUCCGGAGGAACACCAGUGGCGAAAGCGGCUUUCUGGACCAUUUCUGACGCUCAGACGCGAAAGCUAGGG
This 394-nucleotide ribosomal RNA is filed under the name uncultured bacterium. RNAcentral describes it as "bacterial SSU rRNA". It matches the Rfam family "Bacterial small subunit ribosomal RNA", at positions 355 to 765 of the family's 1533-position model. The record is from RNAcentral.